AAUAAAAAAUAAAAAAUAAAAGUUGUAGGAAGAAGAAGGAGGAAGAAGAAGUGGAUGACAUGUGACGCCCAGUCAUUGUCUACAUGGGCGUCACGUCACAAUUAACGGUAGAUUUAACAGUUUGACUAACGGAUGUAUGAGACUGUCCCAAAAUUUACACUUUUGGUAUGAAUCUGAGACGAAAAAAACUUGAUGUAUUAAAUGUUGAAAAUCACGAAACAUGAGGAUAGUAAAUAGUCUUUUACCCUAUAUUAUAUAUAAUUGGUUGUUUUAAGAACUUCUAUAUGGUUCUUGCUAUAUUUUUUCUUUCUAAUUUUUCAGGCGAAUCCUAACUUACUGAUGCAUAACUGAGUUUUGGUAUAUAUUUUCAGGAGGCCUACUCACAAUUUUCCCAAAACUAACAAAUUAAUAAGCAUACGAAACACAAGAAAAUUAAUUGCAUAAACGGCACCUGGACCUUUUUAACUUUCAUACAAUUACCACGUAAACUAACCACUCCGAUUCAAACAAGUUUCAUCCGCAAUUCUGCCAUAUGUGAUCGCGUGACUUGCACGAUGAUUCCUUUUUCUUAGUUCAGAGUUCAACCACCAGCUUCGUCCAAACAAACUAAUUUUUAGAUACACAUAUCCCAGAGUUGAAACUUGAAAGCAUAGGGAAAUGUUAGGUUAGGCUUAUGAGAUGCUGCAGUAAGAUUUUGAUAGUCAGUGAGAUGCAUGUUAGGUUAGGUUUGUGCUUGUUGAUGAGUUUGCAGGAAGUGGUCCGGAAUGGCUGAGGUUUAUUUGGGGGGGGGGGGGGGGGAAUAGCUUAAUUCCCGCGCAUAUGUUCUAGCAUGCAAGUCUCUUGAUCAUAUUUGACGGAAUUGUACACGGAAAAUUAUUAGAUGAAGGUUCAAUAUUAUUAUCAAAUGAUUUUAAGUAUGUUAGUUGUAUCUACAACAGCUACAAACCCGUAGUACAGAAGUUACUUUGUAUCUAUAAUUAAUUAAGACGAGAAGACUUAGCAUAAAACAAACCACCACGACCAAAUGAAACAAGGAACUCCCCCAGAAAAAUAAAUACAACAACAACAACAACAAAGCCUUUUCCCACUAAGUGGGGUCGGCUAUAUGAAUCCUAGAACGCCAUUGCGCUCGGUUUUGUGUCAUGUCCUCCGUUAGAUCCAAGUACUCAAGUCUUUUCUUAGGGUCUCUUCCAAAGUUUUCCUAGGUCUUCCUCUACCCCUUCGGCCCUGAACCUCUGUCCCGUAGUCACAUUUUCGAACCGGAGCGUCAGUAGGCCUUCUUUGCACAUGUCCAAACCACCGGAACCAAUUUUCUCUCAUAUUUCCUUCAAUUUUGGCUACUCCUACUUUACCUCGGAUAUCCUCAUUCCCAAUCUUAUCCUUUCUCGUGUGCCCAUACAUCCCACGAAGCAUCCUCAUCUCUGCUACACCCAUUUUGUGUACGUGUUGAUGCUUCACCGCCCAACAUUCUGUGCCAUACAACAUCGCUGGCCUUAUUGCCGUCCUAUAAAAUUUUCCCUUGAGCUUAAGUGGCCUACGACAGUCACACAACACGCCGGAUGAACUCUUACACUUCAUCCAUCCAGCUUGUAUUCUAUGGUUGAGAUAUCCAUCUAAUUCUCCAUUCUCUUGCAAGAUAGAUCCUAGGUAGCGAAAACGGUCACUUUUUGUGAUCUUCGCUAGAUUGCUCCGGUUAUUAGUGUGGAUAAGUAUAUAAAUGGAUAGAGAUGGGAAAGCAAACACAAGAUGUACGUGGUUCACCCAGAUUGGCUACGUUCACGGAAUAGAGGAGUUCUCAUUAAUUGUGAAGGGUUUACACAAGUACAUAGGUUCAAGCUCUCCUUUAGUGAGUACAAGUGAAUGAUUUAGUACAAAUGACAUUAGGAAAUAUUGUGGGAGAAUGAUCUCGUAACCACGAAACUUCUAAGUACCGGAGUGUGGUAUCGUCUUGACUUGCCUUAUCUGUCUCAUAGGUAGAUGUGGCAUCUUCUCUGGAAGUACUCUUCCUCCCUCUAGGGGUGGUAUCUGUAACUGGUGGAGAUGCACAAGGUAAUGUAUCAAUUUCACUUGAAGCUUACUUGUAGUUUCAGGCUUGGUCAAACGCGAUACAAACCAUGUAGUAGGAGUCCCCCAAGUCGCCGAGCUAGGGGAUUUGCUGAAAGAGGUGACAGACAAGGUAAGCAAUCAGAGCUUCGGCUGAUUGUUCACAUUCUCCCUAUCUUGCAGGCAGCAUGAAGGAUAAAGAGAAGAAAAAUGAGAAGAGAUGAUAUGGGAUACUUUUGCUUUUGAAGAAGUAACUUUCCAUAGGCUUAUUCUUGAACUGGGCUGGAGGGUUUUCUGGUUUCCUCAAGAGUAUAAGGCCGACUGAAGAAUUUGAGGGUCAAAACAAGUCCAGCAAAUCUAGAGUACGUUCGACCCUGCUGAUAUGAGAUACUUUUGCUUUUGACAGAGUAGUGGAUGUAUCGGCACGUGUGCUGUUACGCUUGUCUCCACAUGCUUCAUUGUAUCCUUCUCACUUGCCCUAUCUGUUUCUCAGGCAGAUGCGGUAUCUUCCCUGGAAGCAUAAGAUGUUGAAGAUGAGUACUCGAGAGCAAUGCCAGGUAAGUAAUCAGGUAAGGGGUUCCAGGCAGUCAGUUCCUGGCUGGAAGCUUGAUUCCAAGUGCUGACUGAUUGCUCUCUUUCUCCCUGUCUUGCAGGUAAGAACAAGGCCAAAGGAAAAGACAGGGAAAAAGCAUGAUAUGGGAUACUCUUGCUUUUAACCCUGAUGAUAUGAGAUAUUCUUGCUCUAGUAUAGCUUGUUUACAGAGGUAUUAUCGGGGGGAAAGAAAGCUGAAUAUUUCGAAAGGCUUCGUUAAGAGUGCCUUCUCAGAUAAGAGGAAGGGUUGAGCAUUUUUGCAGGUCUGCCUGUCCGUUGGGGAUGGAGGUCGACAUAUAUAGGAGUCUCCCUAACAUCAAGUAAUAAUGCUAUUCCUUUACCCUGCUUGGUCAUAGCACGGUAGUGGGAGCUGCCAGCUUCACAUGUUUUAACUCUGUCAGAGCACUUUGAAAAAGUGGUCUGUGGUAUCUGGAAAGUUGAUGUUGCGUGUGAAGAUUACAGACAAGCUUUAUCCAAGGAGAUCCAGCUCUUGAAGUUGGGAAAGUGGUGCCUCUUCGGUUUUCGAACAAGCAAUCUUGUCGGGGAUCUGGCUCUCAAGAUUCGAAGAACGAUGCCUCUUCGAUUUUUGAGAAAGCAAUCCUGCUAGGGGUCUGGCUCUCGAGAUUCGGAGAGCGGUGUCUCUUCGAUUUUUGAGAAAGUAAUCAUGUUGGGAGUCUGGCUCUCGAGAUUCGGAGGGCGGUGCCUCUUCGAUUUUGGAGCAAGCAAUCUUGUCGGGAGUGUUUUCUCGAAUGUGAGUAAAGGUUGGGCAUGUUUGCUAGUCUACCUUGCCACGAAGCACAGAGGUUGACACACAGGGACUCUCUAAUUAUCCAGCAGUGGUACUGUUCCUUUACCCUCUCUUCAAUUUUUGAGAAAGUAAUCAUGUUGGGAGUCUGGCUCUCGAGAUUCGGAGGGUGGUGCCUCUUCGAUUUUGGAGCAAGUAAUCUUGUCGGGAGUGUUUUCUCGAAUGUGAGUAAAGGUUGGGCAUGUUUGCUAGUCUACCUUGCCACGAAGCACAGAGGUUGACACACAGGGACUUUCCAAUUAUCCAGCAGUGGUACUGUUCCUUUACCCUCUCUUCGAUUUUUGAGAAAGUAAUCAUGUUGGGAGUCUGGCUCUCGAGAUUCGGAGGGCGGUGCCUCUUCGAUUUUGGAGCAAGCAAUCUUGUUGGGAGUGUUUUCUCGAAUGUGAGUAAAGGUUGGGCAUGUUUGCUAGUCUACCUUGCCACGAAGCACAGAGGUUGACAUACAGGGACUCUCUAAUUAUCCAGCAGUGGUACUGUUCCUUUACCCUCUCUUCAAUUUUUGAGAAAGUAAUCAUGUUGGGAGUCUGGCUCUCGAGAUUCGGAGGGUGGUGCCUCUUCGAUUUUGGAGCAAGCAAUCUUGUUGGGAGUGUUUUCUCGAAUGUGAGUAAAGGUUGGGCAUGUUUGCUAGUCUACCUUGCCACGAAGCACAGAGGUUGACACACCGGGACUUUCCAAUUAUCCAGCAGUGGUACUGUUCCUUUACCCUUGUGGGUAAUAAUAUGGUAGCUAAACCUUCAAAAUUUAUGUGUCUAAACUUUGUUAGUGUUGUUUCUUUGCUAUUCUUUUACCCUUCUUGGUCAGAGCGAUGUAGUGGGAGCUGCAAGCUUCACGUGUCUCAACUUUGUCAGAGAACUUUGGCAAAGUUAUCUGUGGUACCCAUGAGCUACUGUUGCGUGUGGGAAGUGGGUGAUUGAACAGUACGAUUCAUGUGCUUUCUACUUCGCCAGAAAUCUUCGACAGAAUGCCCAUAAUUUCCGCAAAGCUGAGUGUGCGUGUGACAGGUGCUGACAAGGCUGGAAAAAGUAGGUGCCUCUUCGAUUUCUGAGAUCGGCCCUCGUGGUCUCUGAGCAGCCCAGCUUUUGAGAAAGCAAGCCUCUUCGAUUUCUGAGAUCGGCCUUCGUGGUCUUUGAGCAGCCCAGCUUUUGAGAAAGCAAACGCCUCUUCGAUUUCUGAGAUCGACCCUCGUGGUCUCUGAGCAGCCCAGCUUUUGAGAAAGCAAACGCCUCUUCGAUUUCUGAGCAGGCGCCUUUUCGAUUUCUGAAGCUUCCGUCGAGUGCAGAUUUUUAUAGGGGCUGACAUUAAGUUCCAAAGCACACUUGAAGUAAGCCUCCAUUCUUGCACUUCUAAGAUCUUGAUUUGUCCGACCUCUUCUCUCUUCAACACCUUUGAAAAUGUCUGGCCCCUCCGACCGUCGUUUUGACUUGAACCUUGUUGAAGAGGCAGCCCCGCCUUCUCCAGACAACAUAUGGCGCCCAUCCUUCGUCUCCCCUACUGGUCCUCUUACCGUUGGGGAUUCCGUGAUGAAGAAUGAUAUGACCGCUGCGGUGGUGGCCAGGAACCUUCUCACUCCCAAAGAUAACAGACUACUUUCCAAACGGUCUGAUGAGUUGGCUGUUAAGGAUUCUCUGGCUCUCAGUGUUCAGUGUGCAGGUUCUGUGUCUAAUAUGGCCCAACGCCUAUUUGCUCGAACCCGCCAAGUUGAAUCAUUGGCGGCUGAAGUGAUGAGUCUCAAACAGGAGAUUAGAGGGCUCAAGCAUGAGAAUAAACAGUUGCACCGGCUCGCACAUGACUAUGCUACAAACAUGAAGAGGAAGCUUGACCAGAUGAAGGAAUCUGAUGGUCAGGUUUUACUUGAUCAUCAGAGAUUUGUGGGUUUGUUCCAAAGGCAUUUAUUGCCUUCGUCUUCUGGGGCUGUACCGCGCGUAAUGAAGCUCCAAAUGAUCAACCUCUGAUGCCUCCUCCUUCUAGGGUUCUGUCCAGUACUGAGGCUCCGAAUGAUCCCCCUCCGGUGCCUUCUCUUUCUGGGGCUCUACCGACUGCUGAGACUUCUCCUAAGCAACCUUUGUGAAGGCUCCCUCUUGUUUGUUUAUUUUGACUCAUGUAUAUGUACAUAUUUGUAACUUAUCGGGGAUAUCAAUAAAUAAGCUUUCCUUCAUUUCAACGUAUUGUGUUAAAUACACCAAAGCCUUCUUCGCUAAGUUCUUUGAAUUUUCUUUUGUUGAAGCUUGUAUGUUGAAGCUUUGUGAGUGGAGCAUGUAGGUUGAGGUAGUGUUCCCUUAAUUUCCCGAGUGAGGAAAACUUCUCGGUUGGAGACUUGGAAAAUCCAAGUCACUGAGUGGGAUCGGCUAUAUGAAUCUUAGAACGCCAUUGUGCUCGUCCUGUGUCAUGUCCUCCGUUAGAUCCAAGUACUCUAAGUCUUUUCUUAGAGUCUCUCUUCCAAAGUUUUCCUAGGUCUUCCUCUACCCCUUCGGCCCUGAACCUCUGUCCCAUAGUCGCAUCUUCUAAUCGGAGCGUCAGUAGGCCUUCUUUGCACAUGUCCAAACCACCGUAACCGAUUUUCUCUCAUCUUUCCUUCAAUUUCGGCUACUCCUACUUUACCCCGGAUAUCCUCAUUCCUAAUCUUAUCCUUUCUCGUGUGCCCACACAUCCAACGAAGCAUCCUCAUCUCCGCUACACCCAUUUUGUGUACGUGUUGAUGCUUCACCGCCCAACAUUCUGUGCCAUACAGCAUCGCCGGCCUUAUUGCCGUCCUAUAAAAUUUUCCCUUGAGCUUCAGUGGCAUACGGCGGUCACACAACACGCCGGAUGCACUCUUCCACUUCAUCCAUCCAGCUUGUAUUCUAUGGUUGAGAUCUCCAUCUAAUUCUCCGUUCUUUUGCAAGAUAGAUCCUAGGUAACGAAAACGGUCGCUCUUUGGUAUUUCUUGAUCUCCGAUCCUCACCCCUAACUCGUUUUGGCCUCCAUUUGCACUGAACUUGCACUCCAUAUAUUCUGUCUUUGAUCGGCUUAGGCGAAGACCUUUAGAUUCCAACACUUCUCUCCAAAGGUUAAGCUUUGCAUUUACCCCUUCCUGAGUUUCAUCUAUCAACACUAUAUCGUCUGUUAAAAAGCAUACACCAAGGAAUAUCAUCUUGAAUAUGUCCUGUUAACUCAUCCAUUACCAACGCAAAAAGGUAAGGACUUAAGGAUGAGCCUUGAUGUAAUCCUACAGUUAUGGGAAAGCUUUCGGUUUGUCCUUCAUGAGUUCUUACGGCAGUCUUUGCUCCUUCAUACAUAUCCUUUAUAGCUUGGAUAUAUGCUACUCGUACUCCUUUCUUCUCUAAAAUCCUCCAAAGAAUGUCUCUUGGGACCCUAUCAUACGCUUUUUCCAAAUCUAUAAAAGACCAUGUGUAAAUCCUUUUUCCCAUCUCUAUAUCUUUCCAUCAAUCUUCGUAAGAGAUAGAUUGCCUCCAUGGUUGAGCGCCCUGGCAUGAACCCGAAUUGGUUGUCCGAAACCCGUGUCUCUUGCCUCAAUCUAUGCUCAAUGACUCUCUCCCAGAGCUUCAUUGUAUGACUCAUUAGCUUAAUACCCCUAUAGUUCAUGCAAUUUUGUACGUCGCCCUUAUUCUUGUAGAUAGGCACCAAAGUGCUCGUUCGCCACUCAUUUGGCAUCUUCUUCGUUUUCAAAAUCCUAUUGAAAAGGUCAGUGAGCCAUGUUAUAUACCUGUCUCUCCCAAAACUUUCCACACUUCGAUUGGUAUAUCGUCUGGGCCUACUGCUUUUCUAUGCUUCAUCUUCUUCAAAGCUACAACCACUUCUUCCUUCCGGAUUCUACGAUAAAAAGAGUAGUUUCUACACUCUUCUGAGUUACUCAACUCCCCUAAAGAAGCACUCCUUUCAUGUCCUUCAUUGAAAAGAUUAUGAAAAUAACCUUUCCAUCUGUCUUUAACCGCGUUCUCUGUAGCAAGAACCUUUCCAUCCUCAUCCUUGAUGCACCUCACUUGGUUUAGGUCCCUUGUCUUCUUUUCCCUUGCUCUAGCUAGUUUAUAGAUAUCCAACUCUCCUUCUUUGGUAUCUAGUCGCUUUAUACAUAUCGUCAUAAGCCGCUAACUUAGCUUCUCUCACAGCUUUCUUCGCCUCUUGCUUCGCUUUUCUAUACCUUUCACCAUUUUCAUCGGUCCUAUCCUUGUAUAAGGCUUUACAACAUUCCUUCUUAGCCUUCACCUUUGUUUGUACCUCCUCAUUCCACCACCAAGAUUCCUUUUGGUGUGGGGCAAAGCCCUUGGACUCUCCUAAUACCUCUUUUGCUACUUUUCGGAUACAACUAGCCAUGGAAUCCCACAUUUGGCUUAGCUUCCCCCUCUCUAUCCCACACACACUGGGUGAUUACUUUCUCUUUGAAAAUGGCUUGUUUUUUUUUCUUCUUUUAGAUUCCACCAUCUAGUCCUUGGGCACUUCCAAGUCUUGUUCUUUUUUCUCACUCUUUUGAUAUGUACAUCCAUCACCAACAAGCGAUGUUGAUUAGCCACGCUCUCUCCUGGUAUAACUUUGCAAUCCUUACAAGUUAUACGAUCCCCUUUCCUCAUUAGAAGAAAAUCUAUUUGUGUUUUUGACGACCCACUCUUGUAGGUGAUCACAUGUUCUUCUCUCUUCUUAAAGAAGGUGUUGGCUAAGAAGAGAUCAUAUGCCAUUGCAAAAUCCAAGAUAGCUUCCCCAUCCUCGUUUCUCUCCCCAAAACCAUGGCCACCAUGAAAACCUCCAUAGUUGCCUGUCUCCCUGCCCACGUGUCCAUUUAAAUCUCCUCCUAUAAAUAACUUCUCCGUCUGAGCAAUUCCUUGCACCAAGUCUCCAAGGUCUUCCCAAAAUUUCUCCUUCGAACUCGUAUCCAACCCUACUUGAGGUGCGUACGCACUAAUCACAUUGAUAAGUUCUUGUCCUAUUACAAUCUUGAUUGCCAUGAUUCUAUCUCCUACCCUCUUGACAUCUACAACAUCUUGUGUCAAGGUCUUGUCCACGAUGAUGCCAACACCGUUUCUCGUUCUAUUUGUGCCCGAAUACCAUAGUUUAAACCCUGAGUUUUCUAGAUCCUUUGCCUUACUACCAACCCACUUAGUUUCUUGUAGGCACAUAAUAUUUAUCCUUCUCCUCACCAUAACUUCUACUACUUCCAUAGAUUUUCCCGUCAAGGUUCCUAUAUUCCACGUUCCUAAACGCAUUUUGCUCUCUUGAACUCUACCCUUCUGUCCUAGCUUCUUCACCCUUCCCCGUCUAAUAGGAUCAAAGUACUUCUUUUGUGUGUCCCGUGUAAAGUUGAUAGGAGCAUAUGCUCCCAAACAACUUUGAGUGGAGUCGUUCGAAAAGAAGUUUCUAUAGCCCCCUUGCUCAUUUAACACUGCAUCCGGGUGCCGAUGGAGAUACAGCGACCCUUGCUCACUUAUCACUGUGCUCGGGCCACACAGCGCGCCACUUACGGGUGACGCCCUAGUUUUAGCGCGAUUUCGUUCUGGAUUCAUUUUCAUAAGGAUUUGACGUAAUCAUGGAGUGUCGGUUGUCGACUACCUGACGUCCUCCCCCUCCUCCUUUAUCCGGGCUUGGGACUGGCAAUGUAAGAUAAACUUACACGGCGGAGUUUCCCCCAGAAAAAUAAAUAAAUAAACAAAAUUAUGGAAUUGAAAACAACUUUAAACAGCUUUUAAUUUUUGACUUUUAGUUUUCAUUCUGUAUAUUUGUCACAUAUAUCUUCUGCCAUCCUUUGUCACUUUUUUAUCUCUCUCAUAAUCUCACGUAAACUUGCCCCUUAUCUCUAGCACAAAAUGAAAACUAAAACUUAAAGCCAAAAUCGUUAUCAAAUAAACCCUUAAUUUGUCAUGUUUUUCAACCCAACCCCAAAAACCUAGAUAAGCACCCUAAUUGUUGAGAAUGAAUCCCACAUUAAUGAGAUGAGGGACAUUGCUUGUGCUUAUAAGUUGUUGGGCUACUCCCAUAUUGCCAAUUGGUUUUAUGGUGGAACCUCAACCUUUUCAUCGUAUCAGAGCAGGUUGUCCCACGUAUGAAGCCCAACGGCCACACACGCUCCACGUCACCCCGUUGUGUUGUCCAUGUGUUAGGCUUAAAAAUUCGCCACAUGUGAAGGGGCAUGUUGAGAAUGAGUCCCACAUUUAUGGAAUGAGGGACCUUGCAUGGGCUUAUAAGUUGGUUUACUUCCCAUAUUGUCAAUUGGUUUUAUGGUGGAACCUCAACUUUCUUCAUGGUAUCAGAGCAGGUUGUCUCAUAUGUGAAGCUCAAUGGCCACACGUGCUUCACAUCACCCCGUUGUGUUGUCCACGUGUUAGGCUUGAAAAUUCACCACACGUGAGGAGGGGUGUGUUGAGAAUGAAUCCUACAUUGAUGAGAAGAAGGACCUUGCAUGUGCUCAUGAAUAAUUGGACUACUCCCCAUAUUACCAAUUUGUUUUUGGUGAAACCUCAACUUUCUUCACUUAUCAUCCCACGAAUAUAACCAGGUAUCCAAUUUGAUGGUAGUUGGUUGGAGAUAAUGAUUGUAUGAAUAUGAUCAGGUAUCCAAUUCGUGUUUGGAAAGCAACUCUGAAUCAAGCUGGGGUAACAAGUUCGGCAUGUUUCUCCUACCUAUUUAUUACCAUAAAAGCAGUGAUCUUGAUCCUCUAGUGUACCUCAAGAGAGCUAAGCUGGUUCUUGACAGGAAGAAACAAUCUCUAGAAGCUGAUUUUUCGUACAAAGUUGGAUGUUUUCUAAUCACCUACUUUGGAGCAAAGGUAAUCAACAUGUAUUUUUAAGAAAAAUCUGUUGUGCUUCUAACAUAAACGCUUCGACAAAAAAUGGUUAUGAGUAACAGUGUUUCCUACAAAUCAUUCCUAAAUGUGCCCCAAUAUUCAAAAAUGUAUAUAAAAAGAAAAUAGUUUCAUUCUACUGCUGCAGGUUGCUAGUUGGCUUCUUUACAAGAUGGUCUGCAAUACUAGCUUUACCAUUUCAAAUAUACUUGGCCCGCAAGAAGAAAUUGCAAUUGGGGGCAACCUUGUAACUUACCUUAAAGUGAAUACAUGCAGCCUACCCCAGGUAUAUAUAUGAUGCUAACCAAUUAGUAGGGAUACGCUAUCGAUCUUUGAACAAUGACAUAAUUAGAAAUGAGUAGCUCAAAUCAUAGAAUGACGUUGUGAUGGGGCGUUAUGUUACAUUCUAGAAAAUGCCAGAUGUAGCAAAUCAGAAGUAUCUGUAAUGUAACUGGAAUACUUUUGCUGGUUGGUAACGCAGGCACUUACAAUGCACAUGGUGAGCUAUGCUGAAAGAGCUGACCUGCAAAUCUUGGUGGCCAAAGAUAUCAUUCCGGAUCCAACAUUUCUCGCAAAAUGCUUUGAAGAGGCAUUGCUUGAUAUGAAGGAAGCAGCAUCCAGCCAUGAGUAAAACCUAGGAUAUGACCUCUCUAUAUUUUAUGGAAUGUGAUAUAAGAAUGUCAUUGGUAGGAACCUACGAAGGAAAGCAUGCAUCUUUCGUAAACCGAAACAAUUGAGGAUUUUAGUGUAAUCGGCCCAAUAUAUGAGUAGCCAAAUAUCUAUCGGUGGCUAAUCUAGCAAAAUCUAUCAUUUGACAAGAAGAAAAGAAAAUCCAUUUUAGCUUUUAGAACAAUAGACCAUCUCUUUAAUACUGUUGGAAAAUUUAAUCAAAACGAGUUAAAUCGUUUAAAUACAUUGAUGGGUUGUUAUGAUUCAUGAAUUAGGUUUUGAUGUUGGAUUAUAUGGCAUGUGCCACAUUAUAGCUGAUAGGAUUGGUUAGAGAUAAGGAUGACAUGUCAGCAUUUAUUUUAGCUAAAGUCAAUUAUACUAGCUAUAGUAGCUUAAUUAUUGUGUAAGCAAGAUAGUUACAGAGUAUAAGUGUAAGAAUUGAGAUCAUUUAUAAGAUACGAUUGAAUUGAAGCAAAUACAAAGAAACACUUUCUUCUUCACUAAGCUUUCUCCCUCUCUCUAGAUUUGAUUGUUUGAGGAGAAAUUGUGCAACAUUUGUCUUAAUAUGAAUAGAGAUGCAAUCGUUGACUCUUUAAGACACAACUAUAUAUUAUGAAGAGUCAUUUCCACACCUAGAUAAAGAUCUUAUCUCAUUGAGUCAUGAGUCAAUUACAUUCAGUCAUAUAAGUUCAUGUGAGUUUUGUCAUACAUAAAUUGAGUUUUUGAGAGAGUUCAGCAUACUUGUGGUCAAUGACGGAGCCAAAAAUUUAUCCUAAUAGGGUACAACAAAAGAAUAAUACUUGGCUACUCAAAUAAUGAGUAGGAGUUACUACUCAAAACAGUUCGAGACGAUUUCACAGACACCGGCAGAAUGGACGACGACUAUUGUGAUAACGAUGGUAAUUCAAAUAAGGGCCUAUACUCUACCCGUAACACCAGCAACCGCGCUGAUAGGUCUGCACUCAAAAAGUUAAGCGUGGAGGACUAUUACACAGAGAUUAGUUUUAGGUAUGUGAUGAGAGUGCAGCGGAUAAUUGAGCUCCAAUGUGAGGCUUUGGUUAGGGAGUUUAAGGUAAACCCUUUGAUUUGUGGGUUGGCUGGGACCGUUUCACUACGCUUCAUGGCAGGGACUAGGGUUUUUUAUGGUGAUUGGGGUGAGCAGCUUUUCAAGGACUCAGACACACCAGCAAGGUUUGUAGCCACUAUAAUAUUAUUUCUUCGAGAAUCUACCUGUUUGUUUUACUUGAAAUUUUCUUUUUGUAAUGGUAUUCGAUUUGAAUUUUGAGAGAAUUUAAUUUCAGGGAAAUUUGAGAGAUUGAGAAGAAAAAAAAAAUCAAUUCUUAGGAAUUUUGAGUGAAUUAAUUAUGACUUCUAAAGAAUUCACAUGAAUUGUCAGAGAAUUCUUUGCAUGGACCUAUAGAAUUCAGAAAGUUUGAUCAUGAAUUUCAAGAGUUUUGUAUGAAUUCUCAUGAAAUCAUAGUUAAUAUAUUAUCAAAAGGAAUACGGCAAAAUGCCAACCCAUUACUUCUUCUACCAUUCAAACCAAAGUCAACGUAUUACCGAACAAAGUAAAUACUUCAAGAUGUAAACACAUCUGAAAUAACCAAACUAAAGUCAAAUUAUAAUCAAACAAAUUAGAUACUCCAAGAUGUAAACAAGCUUGAAAUAAUCACAUUCACUUCAUAUUGUAUUUUAUUGAUUCAGAGCAUUCUUCUGGUGUCAUUUUCAAGAACUCUUUUUUCAUUCCCAAGAGAUAGAACCUUUAUUCAUUACUUAUUUGCUCCUUGGAUUCUAGGAUUUUGAAGCUUGAAUGGAUUCUCCAAGUCACCAGAGUUGGAGGUCUCUAAGUUCCAACACCAAGGAUGAUCUAGGAAAGAAGAUGAGUGACUAAAGAAGAAGAAAAUCUAGCAAUCAUCUUCCCUAGUGGCCAGCCUCCUAGAGAGAAAGAGAGAGCUUUAUGUUCUCUUAUCAUUCCUCAAAGCAACCCUAAUGAAGGAUGGAAUUCUAAUGUUCCUUAUUAAAGGGCUCACAAUUAAUAGAAGCCCUCUCAUUCCCUCUCUAACUCGACGUCGCUAAUCGUACGAUUAAGACACAUGCUUGUUUAGAAGGAGAAAACCUUACUCACUUCAACUGCACAAAGCAAAUAUAAUUUUAUUUCUCAAAUUAUCAUUCGAGGCUUUCUAGUACAAUAUUUAUAAUGGUUUUACAAAUUAAUACACCUCAAGUUACAAUUUCUAAAAUAACUUGACAAAUUCCAAUUUGACAAUAUUUCAAACUUAAAUAAGCUUUACAGAUCUAAUACGCAUGGACUGCCAAUUAUAAUAGACUAUGGAUGCUGCAUCAUUUUCAUCCAAAUCAACGUAGGCCAGAAACAAAAGUGACUCCAGUAGAAGGCAACCAUGAAGUCCCAACAAUAAAAUUUGUAACAGUAAAUUCAACAGCCUCGUCAACUCCUAUAACAUGAAAUCCAGGCCAUUGGACCCUUUUCCCCACCCCAGAACCCGGCCCCACAUUCGCGUACUUUGCAAAGUACAGUGUCCUAAGGCUGGAGCUCCCAGCCCCAUGCCACUCCACCCAGCCACUAGGUGCAAUGACAUCAUCAAUGUUGGAUUCUAUGACAACGAUUCUAGAGUAUUGCUUCCACGGCCUCCCCAGAUAUGAACUAUAUGUUGAAUAAGUGGCCAAGUGGCCAAGUGGACAACAAAACAAAACAACUUUCGGCUAAUAAACAAACCAAAAGAAAAAAAGGUGAAAGACAUCAUGAUGAGGAGGCAUCAUGAUUAUGUUUGUUGAAAAGAAAAAUUGAAGGUCAUGAUGAUGUUUUUGAAUUUUUUAUUGGGUGCUUUUGUAUUGAUGAAGUGAGCAUAUGGAAGUGAGAAAGAUAGAGGAAGAGUGCACCAUUUUUCUGUUUUAGUAGCCCAUCUUUGAGAGAGCAAAGAGAGCUGCAGAGAGCAGAAAACUGAGAGCAGAAAGAGAAGAAAGAAAGGUGAUUUUCUUUCUUAGUUGGUACUCACUCAAUCAAAGUUGUAUUUGUAUUAGCUUUGAGCUUUGUAUAGAGAGGAAAUUAUUCACUAUAUUUCCCUCUCUAUUUGUUUCUUUAGUGAGUGAGAGUUACUGGGUGUAUUAGGGUUUUAGGUUGUGAGAUUGCCAACACUUUGUAAACUCUCAUUCGGUUGAUAGUGGAUUAUUGGGUGAGCUCCUACUGCUCCGAGGACGUACUCCAGUUACACUGACUGUUGAGGAACCUCGUUAAAAUCUUGGUGUUCUUUAAUAUUUUGUUCUUGCAUUUCAUUUGGUAAAUUUCCUGUGGGUUAGCUUGAGUUGGUUCCAACAGGUUUGGUGCUAUCCUAGCACAACAAUUGGUAUCAGAGCACUGGUUGCUCUUGGGUACUAUCUAGUUGCCAAAGAUGUCAGACGGGCAAGAUGAAAAUCCUUUUGGAAGCAGCUCCGGGUUUGCAAGAACUACGGUGCAAAAUGCAAAGUUCGAAGUGGAAAAGUUUGAUGGCACAAACAACUUCGAGAUGUGGCAAUGUGAGGUCAAAGAUGUGUUGGCUCAACAAGAUCUACUUGCCGCUUUGGGAGAGAAGCCGGAAGUUAUGUCGAAGCCGGAAUGGGAGAAAUUAAAUUUGUGGGCUUGCUCUUCAAUUCGGUUGUGCCUUGCAAAAACUCAGAAGUAUUUUGUGAUGCGGGAGACGGUAGCAAGUGUGUUGUGGCAAAAAUUGGAAGACAAGUAUAUGAUGAAGAGUGCAGAGAAUCGGCUACACUUGAAGAAAAAGCUCUACCGCUUUCAAUACAAAGAAGGUACAAAAAUGAUUAGACACCUUGAUGUUUUUAAUAAGUUGAUUACCGACUUGUAAAUUUAGAUGAGGAUAUUAAGGAUGAAGAUAAGGCCUUAAUAUUGUUGAAUUCCUUGCCGGACUCUUAUGAGCAUUUUGUUACCACUAUUAUGCAUGGUAAAGAAACUGUGAAAUUUGAAGAUGUGUCAAAUGCCUUGAUGAAUUAUGAAAUGAGGCAUAGAGAUAAAAAUUAUGAUAGUACCUCUGAAGCUUUAUUUGUUAGAGGUAGAUCAUCGGAGAGGAGGUCAUCUUCUAGCAGGAAAAAAUCACAGUCUCGACCUAGAGGAAACUCUAAAGGUAGAAAACCUUUGGAAAGGGAUGAAUGUGCCUUUUGUCAUAAUAAGGGUCAUUGGAAGAAAGAUUGUCCUAAGUUGAAGACCAAAGGAAAAGAAAGUUCUAAAGCCAAUGUUGCUGAGGUUGAAACAGAUGUUUUUGAUUUUGCUUUAACCACUUCCUCAUCAUUUGAUUGUUCUACUAAAUAGGUGUUGGAUACGGGUUGUACUCAUCAUAUGACUCCUCACAAGGAUUGGUUUUCAAGCUUGAAAGAGUUUGAUGGUGGUGUUGUGUUCAUGGGAGAUGACAAUCCUUGCACAACAAAAGGGAUUGGUACAGUUCGUUUAAAGUUGCAUGAUGGCAUGGUUAAAGAGUUGACAGGUGUUCGGUAUGUACCGAAUUUGAAGAAAAAUCUUAUUUCUUUAGGUACUUUGGAAUCCAAGGGCUUCAUGUUUCAUUCAGAUGGACAGACAUUGAAAGUUACUUAUGGUGCACUUGUUGUGAUGAAAGCUCCUCGAUGUGGCCAUUUGUAUUUAUUGCAGGGAAGCAUUGUGACAAGUGAAGCAUCUGUAGUCUCUGAAAAUAUGGGCACAUCUGAUUCAGAUACUACUAGACUGUGGCAUAUGAGAUUAGGCCAUGCCGGUGAGAAAGCUCUACAAGGGCUUGUGAAAAAAUGUCUUUUAAAAUGUGCCACGACUUGUAAGCUUGAUUUCUGCGAGCAUUGUGUCUUGGGGAAGCAAACUAGAGUGAAGUUUGGUACUGCUGUACAUCAGACGAAGGGCAUUCUUGAUUAUGUGCAUUCGGAUGUUUGGGGUCCUACAAAGACUCCCUCUUUGAGUGGUAGACAUUGGUUCGUGACCUUUGUUGAUGAUUAUUCAAGAAGGUCUUAGGUCUACACUAUGAAGCACAAGAGUGAGGUGUUAAGCAUUUUCUUGGGUUGGAAGAAAAUGGUUGAGAACCAGACUGGGAGAAAGAUUAAGAUUUUGAGAUCGGAUAAUGGUGGUGAAUACACAUCCGACCCUUUCUUUAAAGUUUGCAAAGAGGAAGGAAUUGUGAGACAUUUUAGUGUUCGGGGAACUCCACAACAAAAUGGAGUUGCAGAAAGAUUGAAUCGAACCUUGCUUGAAAAGGUUAGAUGUAUGUUGUCUCAGUCGGGUUUAAGCAAGUCAUUUUGGGCAGAAGCAGUUAAUUAUGCAUGUCACAUCAUCAACCGGUUACCCUCAGCUGCUGUUCAGGGUAAGACACCAAUGGAGGUAUGGACUGGAAAACCUUCUUCUGAUUAUGACUAUAUCCGUAUUUUUGGUUCACCUGCUUAUUUUCAUGUGACUGAAAAUAAACUUGAUCCUAGAGCCAAAAAGGCUAUCUUUCUUGGUUUUAGUAGUGGUGUCAAAGGUUACAGGUUGUGGUGCCCAGAGAUGAAAAAACUUGUAAUCAGUAGAGAUGUGACAUUUGAUGAAGAAAGUAUGUUCAAGGACUCUGAGAAGAAUGUGAAAGAUGUCCAACAGGUGGAGCUUGAGAAAGUUGCCUCUGGUACUUCAAAUCCUAUUUCCGCUGAUGUCGAUGCCACUACAAGUGAAGAAGUUGGAGACCAUGAGGAUGUUGAAGAAGUUGAACUUGAAGAUUCUAUUCAAGUUGAAGAGGAAGUUUCACCUCAAGAGUCUAUUGCAAAGAACAGAGGAAAGAGACAAAUUACCAAGCCAGUUCGGUAUAGUGACUAUGUUGCUUUUGCUCUUCCUAAUAUCAUUGAUGAUAUUCCAUCCAAUUUCGAGGAAGUCAUUGAGAGUGAGGAGAAGAAGAGGUGGUGCAAUGUCAUGGGUGAUGAGAUGAAUUCUCUCUUGAAGAACAAGACUUGGGAGUUAGCUAAAUUGCCUAAGGGCAAGAAAGUUAUCGGUUGCAAAUGGGUGUAUGCCAAGAAGGAAGAUGCUGAUGAGAAAAGCAAUGUAAGAUUUAAAGCAAGAUUAGUUGCUAAAGGGUAUGCACAAAACGAGGGCAUUGACUACAAUGAAAUAUUUUCUCCGGUUGUAAAGCACUCCUCAAUUCGUAUUAUGUUAGCUCUUGUUGCACAAUAUGAUCUUGAGCUUGUGCAACUCGAUGUGAAGACGACUUUCCUACAUGGUGAUUUGAAUGAAGAGAUCUAUAUGUGUCAACCAGAUGGGUAUAUAGUGAAAGGGAAGGAAAAUUUGUUUUGCAAAUUGAAGAAAUCACUUUAUGCCUUGAAGCAAUCUCCAAGGCAAUGGUAUUUGAGGUUUGAUAAAUUUAUGAGAGGCCAAAAUUAUUCUAGAAGUCAAUAUGAUCAUUGUGUGUACUUCAAGAAGUUGCAAGAUGGGUCUUUCAUUUAUUUAUUGAUAUAUGUUGAUGAUAUAAGCAAAGAAGAUCCUUGGCAUGGAGAUCACUAGAAAUAGAGAGAAGGGUUUGGUCAGUUUGAAUCAAAGACAAUACCUUGAGAAGUUGAUUCGGAAGUUUGGAGUUCAUGAUUCAACCAAACCGGUUAGUACCCCUUUGGCUCCUCAUUUUAAAUUGAGUUCUCUACAGUGUCCUAAAACUGAUAAAGAGAAGCUACAAAUGAAAAAUAUACCAUAUGCAAAUUUGGUUGGUAGUUUGAUGUAUGCAAUGGUAUGCUCUAGACCGGAUAUUGCUCAUGCAGUUGGCAUGGUGAGUCGAUAUAUGCAUAAUCCAGGUAAAGAGCAUUGGCAAUCAGCUAAGUGGAUAUUGAGGUAUCUCCAUGGUACUCGAGAUGUUGGUUUAUGCUUUGAGAGGGAUGACUCUGGUAUUGGUCAUUUUGCAGUUGGUUAUGUUGAUUCAGAUUAUGCAGGUGAUCUGGAUGGAAGGAAGUCUACUACAGGCUAUGUGUUUACUAUGGCUAAAGGACCAGUUUGUUGGAGGUCCAUUUUGCAGUCGUCUGUUGCCUUGUCUACUACAGAGGCUGAAUAUAUGGCAGUUGCUGAAGCUAUAAAGGAGGUCAUUUGGAUACAUGAGCUGAUUAGAGAUUUAGGGGUUGAUCAGAAGCAUGUGGAGGUACAUUGUGAUAGUCAGAGUGCCAUUUAUUUGGCUAAGUAUCAGGUUCAUCAUGCGAGGACCAAGCAAAUAGAUGUGCGUUAUCACUUUGUUCGUGAAAUUGUUGGUGAAUGAUAAAUCAUUCUCCAGAAGAUUCCAACUAAAGACAACCCCGCUGAUAUGUUGACUAAGGUUGUUGGUGUAGCCAAGUUUGUUCACUGUUUGAACUUGGCUCACAUUAUGCCUAUAUAAAGAAGGUGUUGAGCAGUAGGAGUUUUGGAGCAUUUGACUCGGCAUGAGUUGUUCUCUUGCUAGUGUUUGGGAGUGAUGUUGUGUGUUAAUUGUGUUGGUUGGCUUAUCAUGGCGUUUUUCGGAACUUGGCCAAGGUGGAGAUUGUUGAAUAAGUGGCCAAGUGGACAACAAAACAAAACAACUUUCGGCUAAUAAACAAACCAAAAGAAAAAAAAGGUGAAAGACAUCAUGAUGAGGAGGCAUCAUGAUUAUGUUUGUUGAAAAGAAAAAUUGAAGGUCAGGAUGAUGUUUUUGAAUUUUUUAUUGGGUGCUUUUGUAUUGAUGAAGUGAGCAUACGGAAGUGAGAAAGAUAGAGGAAGAGUGCACCAUUUUUCUGUUUUAGUAGCCCAUCUUUGAGAGAGCAAAGAGAGCUGCAGAGAGCAGAAAACUAAGAGCAGAAAGAGAAGAAAGAAAUGUGAUUUUCUUUCUUUGAUGAGGUCGCACUUGGUGCGAUGGCAAGUGCCUUCGCCCAUGAGCGGUAGGUAUCGGGUUCGAGACUUGGGAGCAGUCUCUCCAUAAAUGGGGGUAAGGCUAGCCGACAUUCACCUCUUCCAGACCCUGCGUAAAGCGGGAGCCUUGUGCACUGGGUACGACCGUUGGUACUCACUCAAUCAAAGUUGUAUUUGUGUAUUAGCUUUGAGCUUUGUAUAGAGAGGAAAUUAUUCACUAUAUUUUCUUCUCUAUUUGUUUCUUUGGUGAGUGAGAGUUAUUGGGUGUAUUGGGGUUUUAGGUUGUGAGAUUGCCAACACUUUGUAAACUCCCAUUCGGUUGAUAGUGGAUUAUUGGGUGAGCUCCUACUGCUUCGAGGAUGUACUCCAGUUACACUGACUGUUGAGGAACCUCGUUAAAAUCUUGGUGUUCUUUAAUAUUUUGUUCUUGCAUUUCAUUUGGUAAAUUUCCUGUGGGUUAGCUUGAGUUGGUUCCAACGGGUUUGGUGCUAUCCUAGCACAACACUAUAGGAGUGCUUAACCAGAGAGAAGUCCAAGCUGGGUACGAUCCUACAGUUUUGGACCGAGAAUCCGGUUUUUUGUCCAGGGUCGGUCCUCCCGUUUGCCAGGAUUGCAUUGUAGCCCUUGUUCUUGCGAAGCACCAGGUUGCAACUCUGUAAAACGGCAGCGGCGUUGCCAAAGAUGAAGUCUAUGGUGCCGUAGAUGUCACAUUCUAUGUAGAAUUGACGGAAGGCGAGUGCAUAGAGAGUGUCUUGGUACCCAACAAUGCUGCAUCUGUAGAGAACUGAGUGAUCAGAAGCGAUGUAGAGAGCCAAGGCUUGUUCUCCUUGAGGGCCUGCUGUGUUUUGGAACCCUAUAUCCCUAGCAAUGAACCCAUCUCCUGUUAUGGCUGCCCAUGAAAUCCAAGAACAAGAUCGUCAUUUCAAAAAAAAAUUCAAAUAUCAGUAUACGUAUUAGUGUGUGCGUGUGUGUGUGUGUGUAUAUAUAUCUGAUUAGUAUCUAAACAAAACGAAACAUUGUCAUAACAUUUGGCGAAGAGGGAGAGAGAGAGAGAAAGAGUACGAACUGAAUGUAGCUGAGCCAGGCAUGGUGGCACCAUUAGCAACGCUAAAAUCCCCAGUAAUAAUAGUGGAAUCUUUUCCCUCUCCUAUCAACGUAAUACCAUCUUUGUUAGUGCGAAUCUUCUCCUCAUAAACUCCCGCCUUUACAUGAAUCACAAACCGACCCCCGGAAGCUGCGCCAAUGGCUUCUGAUACAGUUUUAUAGUCGCCGGAUCCAUCUUUAGCGACAACGGCAUUGGCUUUUAUGGUGGUUGCCUGAAGUAGUUUCCGGUCCCUGGGUGAUAUCCAUUUGGGAAACACUCCUUGUUUCUCAGUUUCUGCAUUAAUAUGGUGAUUUGAUAUACGGUUGACAAGAGCUAGUAGGUUACUUACCGACUCAGAGGCAUCGGCUAUACGUUUGCCGAUCUGAGAAAUAUUCUGCUUGAUGAUCAGCAGCGUAGUCUUUGCAAGUUUCCUGGAAAGUCAUGGCAGCACUGAGCCAUGUUUGGAUGUCAUGCUUGUAUUUUCUUGGAGAACUUUUGAGUGCUAAUAGGGAUUGGUCUAGCCGCUUCAAGGACAUGUUCAUGAGCUCUUCACAAUAGUCUGUAAAUACACACACACACGAAAAUAACGAGGCUGAGUAAAUAUUAAAGUAUGUAUGGUGAAAGUUUACGUAUAUUUUGUACAAGCAUAACUAAAGAGUGACAUUAUGUAGACACAAGAAAUUGACACGAUUAAUGACACUGUCUAAUAUAAUACAGCUGGAUCCUAAGCAUAUUGAUAGAACCUAUAUUAGAGAUUGUAUCUGCAAUGGUCAGUUUUGUGUCUAAAUAAUAACAUAGUUUAUAAAUAAAGAGUAAUAUGUUCUUGCCAGACAAAAGAUUAUGCAACACGACUAUAUGAAUUUGAGCCACACAGGCAGUAAUUAACUUGAUCAAUUGCUCAUAUUCAUAUAUAGUCACAACUACCAUAAAAAUAAAAUUAAAAAAAAAAUAGUUGUGACUACCACCUUUUUUCAGAGUUAUGAGCACGUUGAGCUUCAUGGGCUCCAAAGUGAUCAGUUCCCAACUUAAUUUGGGAGUUCAACAACAACAACAACAACAAAGCCUUUUCCCACUAAGUGGGGUCGGCUAUAUGAAUCCUAGAACGCCAUUGCGCUCGGUUUUGUGUCAUGUCCUCCGUUAGAUCCAAGUACUCUAAGUCUUUUCUUAGAGUCUCUUCCAAAG
RNAcentral lists this long non-coding RNA (20984 nucleotides) under Malus domestica (apple). Its description in RNAcentral is "long non-coding RNA (MDOM_LNC001450)". Lineage: Eukaryota; Viridiplantae; Streptophyta; Magnoliopsida; Rosales; Rosaceae. The record is from RNAcentral.